Non-coding RNA from Zootoca vivipara (common lizard), 73 nucleotides. The record is from the annotation of a RefSeq genome assembly. NCBI's taxonomy places the organism in Eukaryota, Metazoa, Chordata, Lepidosauria, Squamata, Lacertidae.
GCCCAAGUAGCUCAGUUGGUAGAGCAUGAGACUUGUCAUCUCAGGGUUGUGGGUUUGAGCCUCAUGUUGGGCA